GCUGAGCACUCCUACGGGGGCAGCAGUGGGGAAUAUUGCACAAUGGGCGCAAGCCUGAUGCAGCCAUGCCGCGUGUAUGAAGAAGGCCUUCGGGUUGUAAAGUACUUUCAGCAGUGAGGAAGGUGGAUAUGUUAAUAGCAUAUUCAUUUGACGUUAGCUGCAGAAGAAGCACCGGCUAACCCCGUGCCAGCAGCCGCGGUAAUACGGAGGGUGCGAGCGUUAAUCGGAAUUACUGGGCGUAAAGCGCAUGCAGGUGGUUUGUUAAGUCAGAUGUGAAAGCCCGGGGCUCAACCUCGGAAUUGCAUUUGAAACUGGCAAACUAGAGUACUGUAGAGGGGGUAGAAUUUCAGGUGUAGCGGUGAAAUGCGUAGAGAUCUGAAGGAAUACCGGUGGCGAAGGCGGCCCCCUGGACAGAUACUGACACUCAGAUGCGAAAGCGUGGGGAGCAAACAGGAUUAGAUACCCUGGUAG
RNAcentral lists this ribosomal RNA (471 nucleotides) under uncultured bacterium. Its description in RNAcentral is "bacterial SSU rRNA". It matches the Rfam family "Bacterial small subunit ribosomal RNA", at positions 328 to 793 of the family's 1533-position model. The record is from RNAcentral.